UAAACCUCUUUUCUCGGGGAAGAGCACAAUGACGGUACCUGAGGAAUAAGCAUCGGCUAACUCCGUGCCAGCAGCCGCGGUAAUACUGAGGAUGCAAGCGUUAUCCGGAAUGAUUGGGCGUAAAGCGUCCGCAGGUGGCAAUGUAAGUCUGCUGUUAAAGAGUCUAGCUCAACUAGAUAAAAGCAGUGGAAACUACAUAGCUAGAGUAUGGUCGGGGCAGAAGGAAUUCCUGGUGUAGCGGUGAAAUGCGUAGAUAUCAGGAAGAACACCGGUGGCGAAAGCGUUCUGCUAGGCCGAGACUGACACUGAGGGACGAAAGCUAGGGGAGCGAAUGGGAUUAGAUACCCCAGUA
RNAcentral lists this ribosomal RNA (352 nucleotides) under uncultured cyanobacterium. RNAcentral describes it as "bacterial SSU rRNA". It matches the Rfam family "Bacterial small subunit ribosomal RNA", at positions 426 to 792 of the family's 1533-position model. Lineage: Bacteria; Bacillati; Cyanobacteriota. The record is from RNAcentral.